Molecule: unclassified non-coding RNA, 117 nt
Organism: Pongo abelii (Sumatran orangutan)
Lineage: Eukaryota; Metazoa; Chordata; Mammalia; Primates; Hominidae
Rfam family: Metazoan signal recognition particle RNA
About the family: The signal recognition particle (SRP) is a universally conserved ribonucleoprotein. It is involved in the co-translational targeting of proteins to membranes. The eukaryotic SRP consists of a 300-nucleotide 7S RNA and six proteins: SRPs 72, 68, 54, 19, 14, and 9.
Source: Ensembl
GCCAGGUGUGGUGGCUCACACCUGUAAUCCCAGCACUUUGGGAGGCUGAGGCAGGUGGAUCACCUGAGGUCAGGGGUUCAAGACAAGCCUGACCAACAUGGUGAAACCCCGUCUCUG